GAUGAACGCUGGCGGCGUGCCUAAUACAUGCAAGUCGAGCGAACAGAUGAGGAGCUUGCUCCUCUGACGUUAGCGGCGGACGGGUGAGUAACACGUGGAUCACCUACCUAUAAGACUGGGAUAACUUCGGGAAACCGGAUCUAAUACCGGAUAAUAUCUUGAACCGCAUGGUUCAAUAGUGAAAUACGGUUUUGCUGUCACUUAUAGAUGGAUCCGUGCUGCAUUAGGUAGUUGGUAAGGUAACGGCUUACCAAGGCAACGAUGCGUAGCCGACCUGAGAGAGUGAUCGCCCACACUGGAACUGAAACACGCUCAAUACUACUACGAGAGGCAGCAGAAUGCAAUCUUCCGCAAUAGGCGAAAACAUUACGGAACAACGCCACGUGAGUUAUGAAGAUCUUCGGAUCGUAAAACUCUGUUAUUAGUUAAAAACAAAUUUAUAAUUAACUAAACACGUAUUGACGGUACCUAAUCAAAAAGCAACGGCUAACUACGUG
This 497-nucleotide ribosomal RNA is filed under the name uncultured bacterium. Its description in RNAcentral is "partial 16S ribosomal RNA". It matches the Rfam family "Bacterial small subunit ribosomal RNA", at positions 28 to 507 of the family's 1533-position model. The record is from RNAcentral.